UACGGAGGGUGCAAGCGUUAUCCGGAUUCACUGGGCGUAAAGCGCGCGUAGGCGGCUUUGUAAGUCAGAGGUGAAAUCCCGGAGCUCAACUCCGGAACUGCCUUUGAAACUGCAUCGCUUGAAUCCGGGAGAGGUGAGUGGAAUUCCGAGUGUAGAGGUGAAAUUCGUAGAUAUUCGGAAGAACACCAGUGGCGAAGGCGGCUCACUGGACCGGUAUUGACGCUGAGGUGCGAAAGCGUGGGGAGCAAACAGG
RNAcentral lists this ribosomal RNA (253 nucleotides) under uncultured bacterium. RNAcentral describes it as "partial 16S ribosomal RNA". It matches the Rfam family "Bacterial small subunit ribosomal RNA", at positions 524 to 776 of the family's 1533-position model. The record is from RNAcentral.